GACGAACGCUGGCGGCGUGCUUAACACAUGCAAGUCGAACGGAAAGGCCCUGCUUUUGUGGGGUGCUCGAGUGGCGAACGGGUGAGUAACACGUGAGUAACCUGCCCUUGACUUUGGGAUAACUUCAGGAAACUGGGGCUAAUACCGGAUAGGAGCUCCUGCUGCAUGGUGGGGGUUGGAAAGUUUCGGCGGUUGGGGAUGGACUCGCGGCUUAUCAGCUUGUUGGUGGGGUAGUGGCUUACCAAGGCUUUGACGGGUAGCCGGCCUGAGAGGGUGACCGGCCACAUUGGGACUGAGAUACGGCCCAGACUCCUACGGGAGGCAGCAGGGGGGAAUAUUGCAAAAUGGGCGGAAGCCUGAUGAAGCAACGCCGCGUGCGGGAUGACGGCCUUCGGGUUGUAAACAGCUUUCGAAUGUGACGAAGCGUGAGUGACGGUAAUGGGUAAAGAAGCACCGGCUAACUACGUG
RNAcentral lists this ribosomal RNA (468 nucleotides) under uncultured bacterium. RNAcentral describes it as "partial 16S ribosomal RNA". It matches the Rfam family "Bacterial small subunit ribosomal RNA", at positions 28 to 507 of the family's 1533-position model. The record is from RNAcentral.